Molecule: ribosomal RNA, 1050 nt
Filed under: Triticum aestivum (bread wheat)
Lineage: Eukaryota; Viridiplantae; Streptophyta; Magnoliopsida; Poales; Poaceae
Description: partial small subunit ribosomal RNA
Source: RNAcentral
AUGGGGCUCUGGAACUACGGCCGCAAUGGCAAGCACGACCGCGAGGCUGGCUCCUCGUCGAGGCGUUGCCGCGGCUCGGUGAAGAAGGAGGAGCCGGCCUCGCCAUCGCCACCACGCCGGGCCCCCUCGCCGCCCGCGUUCUCCAUCGCCCCCGCGUCCGCCGGCGAGCGCGACCGGCACUACAUCCGCGCUGAGGUGUGCCGCCGUUAUUGGGAGACGAGGACGCCGAUCCCCUGGAGCGACGCCCACCUCCCCAACAACUGGCAUUUGUCGGCCGACCACGUGCCGAUCCCGCCGGUCCCGGUGACCGGCCGUGCGCGCCGCCAGGAGAUCGAGUGCCGCCGCCGCCUCCUCCCGGACGACCCCUACUACGAUCCCAGGUACGCCCCCGACUCGCCAUUGUGGGACACCUGGUUCCGCGAUGAGCACGACGCGCGGCGGGCGUCCUAUUUCGCCGGCACGUCGACGGGGCCACGGCGGCCACGCCCAGAUGGCCGAGCGGCCGCUCCCCAGGAGCGCGGGCGUAGGGUGGUGCGCGGCCUCACGCCCACGCCGUCGCCGUCUCCAUCGCCACCACCACCUCCUCGCAUGACGGCGGAGGAGGAAGCCCGUCUCGUGCAGCGUGUCAUGGAGGACUCCAUGCGCACGCACGACGAGCGGCAAUGGGAUGGCUUGGAGGAGGCCAUGGCACUGUCUGCCGCCGGCGACGUGGCCUUCCCGGAGCUGCAGAUGGCGGCCUUGACGGAGGAGAGGAGGGAGGACGCCAUGGAGGAGGAGCCGGCGGCCGCCUUCCAGCAGCUGGUGGGCGCUGGGUGGGCCUGGUCCUGCACUGCUCCGGAGAUGGCCGCCAGCCUGGGCGUGGACUGGCGUGCCACUCCGACGCAGUCACCGGAGCGGGAGGGGUCGCCACGGGAGGAGGUGUUGCAGGCACCUCGCGCCGUCCAGCCCGCACCCGUCUACCAGGCACCGCACGCACCGCCGGCCCACCUGUGGACGCCGCCGGCCUAUGUCGACCUCGUCAGCGACGACGACGACACCGGCGGCCAGUGA